GUGCACCAGGCGCGAAACUUCACACUGUGCGAAAGCACGAUGAGGGAAUCCCAAGUGCUUGCACGUAAGUGUAAGCUGUUUCUCUGUCUAAAACGCAGAGAGAGUAAGGGCUGGGUAAGACGGGUGCCAGCCGCCGCGGUAAUACCUGCAGCUCAAGUGGUGACCGUUAUUAUUGGGCCUAAAACGUCCGUAGCCGGUUUAAUAAAUGCCUGGGUAAAUUGUGUAGCUUAACUAUACGAAUUCCGGGUAGACUGUUAAACUUGAGACCGGGAGAAGUUAGAGGUACUCCUGGGGUAGAGGUGAAAUUCUGUAAUCCUAGGGGGACCACCAGUGGCGAAGGCGUCUAACUAGAACGGGUCUGACGGUGAGGGACGAAGCCCUGGGGCGCAAACGGGAUUAGAUACCCGUGUAGU
RNAcentral lists this ribosomal RNA (413 nucleotides) under uncultured microorganism. RNAcentral's name for it is "bacterial SSU rRNA". It matches the Rfam family "Archaeal small subunit ribosomal RNA", at positions 330 to 745 of the family's 1478-position model. The record is from RNAcentral.